AGUGGCGGACGGGUGAGUAACGCGUAAGAAUCUAACUUCAGGACGGGGACAACAGUUGGAAACGACUGCUAAUACCCGAUGUGCCGCAAGGUGAAACCUAAUUGGCCUGAAGAAGAGCUUGCGUCUGAUUAGCUAGUUGGUGGGGUAAGAGCCUACCAAGGCGACGAUCAGUAGCUGGUCUGAGAGGAUGAGCAGCCACACUGGGACUGAGACACGGCCCAGACUCCUACGGGAGGCAGCAGUGGGGAAUUUUCCGCAAUGGGCGAAAGCCUGACGGAGCAACGCCGCGUGAGGGAGGAAGGUCUUUGGAUUGUAAACCUCUUUUCUCAAGGAAGAAGUUCUGACGGUACUUGAGGAAUCAGCCUCGGCUAACUCCGUGCCAGCAGCCGCGGUAAUACGGGGGAGGCAAGCGUUAUCCGGAAUUAUUGGGCGUAAAGCGUCCGCAGGUGGUCAGCCAAGUCUGCUGUCAAAUCAGGUUGCUUAACGACCUAAAGGCGGUGGAAACUGGCAGACUAGAGAGCAGUAGGGGUAGCAGGAAUUCCCAGUGUAGCGGUGAAAUGCGUAGAGAUUGGGAAGAACAUAGGUGGCGAAAGCGUGCUACUGGGCUGUAUCUGACACUCAGGGACGAAAGCUAGGGGAGCGAAAGGGAUUAGAUACCCCUGUAGUCCUAGCCGUAAACGAUGGAUACUAGGCGUGGCUU
This 700-nucleotide ribosomal RNA is filed under the name uncultured bacterium. Its description in RNAcentral is "bacterial SSU rRNA". It matches the Rfam family "Bacterial small subunit ribosomal RNA", at positions 94 to 828 of the family's 1533-position model. The record is from RNAcentral.